Saitoella complicata NRRL Y-17804 is the source of this 71-nucleotide transfer RNA. It matches the Rfam family "tRNA". Rfam says of the family: Transfer RNA (tRNA) molecules are approximately 80 nucleotides in length. Their secondary structure includes four short double-helical elements and three loops (D, anti-codon, and T loops). Further hydrogen bonds mediate the characteristic L-shaped molecular structure. tRNAs have two regions of fundamental functional importance: the anti-codon, which is responsible for specific mRNA codon recognition, and the 3' end, to which the tRNAs corresponding amino acid is attached (by aminoacyl-tRNA synthetases). tRNAs cope with the degeneracy of the genetic code in two manners: having more than one tRNA (with a specific anti-codon) for a particular amino acid; and 'wobble' base-pairing, i.e. permitting non-standard base-pairing at the 3rd anti-codon position. Lineage: Eukaryota; Fungi; Ascomycota; Saitoellomycetes; Saitoellales; Saitoellaceae. The record is from Rfam.
GCAUCGGUGGUCCAACGGUAUGAUGUGCGCUUGCCAUGCGCGCGACCCGGGUUCGACUCCCGGCCGAUGCA